Molecule: long non-coding RNA, 438 nt
Organism: Drosophila willistoni
Lineage: Eukaryota; Metazoa; Arthropoda; Insecta; Diptera; Drosophilidae
Exons: 2
Source: RefSeq, a predicted model, not a curated record
UGAAUGAAAAUAUGUUUGAGAGAUCAAAAUCAAAGGAAUAUUUCAUUAAACUUAAUUUGGAAAUAUUUUUUCAGAAAAUUUUAAAGUUAUUUAUCAAUGCAUAAAGACCCUGGCUAAAGUAUUAUAUAGACUAGAAGAGAAGACAAGGAGUUGCGAGCUGGCUUACUGUGAAGCCUCCUUCAGGUCGUAAGCCACAAGACGACAAGGCGCGUUAAUGUUAACGCCUUUUUGACUUUUGAAGCGCCACCAGCCGGCAUCAGCAUCAGAUCCAGCUUGUUCCACAUUUUGCUUUAGCAUAUCCAAUUUGAAAUCGGAUUCCAAGUUUUGUCACACUGACUGCAUCUCGAUACUGAUGUGGUCUAUGUAGCUGUAGCUGUUGGCAAUUUGAUUAUUGCAAAUCCAAUAAACUUUCUGAUUCGACUGAUGUCGACUUCUGUA